UAAGAGUUUGAUCCUGGCUCAGAUUGAACGCUGGCGGCAUGCUUUACACAUGCAAGUCGGACGGCAGCACAGGGAAGCUUGCUUCUCGGGUGGCGAGUGGCGAACGGGUGAGUAACAUAUCGGAACGUACCGGGUAGCGGGGGAUAACUGAUCGAAAGAUCAGCUAAUACCGCAUACGUCUUGAGAGGGAAAGCAGGGGACCUUCGGGCCUUGCGCUAUCCGAGCGGCCGAUAUCUGAUUAGCUGGUUGGCGGGGUAAAGGCCCACCAAGGCGACGAUCAGUAGCGGGUCUGAGAGGAUGAUCCGCCACACUGGGACUGAGACACGGCCCAGACUCCUACGGGAGGCAGCAGUGGGGAAUUUUGGACAAUGGGCGCAAGCCUGAUCCAGCCAUGCCGCGUGUCUGAAGAAGGCCUUCGGGUUGUAAAGGACUUUUGUCAGGGAAGAAAAGGCCGUUGCCAAUAUCGGCGGCCGAUGACGGUACCUGAAGAAUAAGCACCGGCUAACUACGUGCCAGCAGCCGCGGUAAUACGUAGGGUGCGAGCGUUAAUCGGAAUUACUGGGCGUAAAGCGGGCGCAGACGGUUACUUAAGCAGGAUGUGAAAUCCCCGGGCUCAACCCGGGAACUGCGUUCUGAACUGGGUGACUCGAGUGUGUCAGAGGGAGGUGGAAUUCCACGUGUAGCAGUGAAAUGCGUAGAGAUGUGGAGGAAUACCGAUGGCGAAGGCAGCCUCCUGGGAUAACACUGACGUUCAUGUCCGAAAGCGUGGGUAGCAAACAGGAUUAGAUACCCUGGUAGUCCACGCCCUAAACGAUGUCAAUUAGCUGUUGGGCAACUUGAUUGCUUGGUAGCGUAGCUAACGCGUGAAAUUGACCGCCUGGGGAGUACGGUCGCAAGAUUAAAACUCAAAGGAAUUGACGGGGACCCGCACAAGCGGUGGAUGAUGUGGAUUAAUUCGAUGCAACGCGAAGAACCUUACCUGGUUUUGACAUGUGCGGAAUCCUCCGGAGACGGAGGAGUGCCUUCGGGAGCCGUAACACAGGUGCUGCAUGGCUGUCGUCAGCUCGUGUCGUGAGAUGUUGGGUUAAGUCCCGCAACGAGCGCAACCCUUGUCAUUAGUUGCCAUCAUUCGGUUGGGCACUCUAAUGAGACUGCCGGUGACAAGCCGGAGGAAGGUGGGGAUGACGUCAAGUCCUCAUGGCCCUUAUGACCAGGGCUUCACACGUCAUACAAUGGUCGGUACAGAGGGUAGCCAAGCCGCGAGGCGGAGCCAAUCUCACAAAACCGAUCGUAGUCCGGAUUGCACUCUGCAACUCGAGUGCAUGAAGUCGGAAUCGCUAGUAAUCGCAGGUCAGCAUACUGCGGUGAAUACGUUCCCGGGUCUUGUACACACCGCCCGUCACACCAUGGGAGUGGGGGAUACCAGAAGUAGGUAGGGUAACCGCAAGGAGCCCGCUUACCACGGUAUGCUUCAUGACUGGGGUGAAGUCGUAACAAGGUAGCCGUAGGGGAACCUGCGGCUGGAUUACCUCCUUU
RNAcentral lists this ribosomal RNA (1536 nucleotides) under Neisseria gonorrhoeae. RNAcentral's name for it is "bacterial SSU rRNA". It matches the Rfam family "Bacterial small subunit ribosomal RNA". The record is from RNAcentral. Lineage: Bacteria; Pseudomonadati; Pseudomonadota; Betaproteobacteria; Neisseriales; Neisseriaceae.